Molecule: ribosomal RNA, 483 nt
Filed under: uncultured bacterium
Lineage: Bacteria
Description: partial 16S ribosomal RNA
Rfam family: Bacterial small subunit ribosomal RNA
Source: RNAcentral
AUUGAACGCUGGCGGCAGGCCUAACACAUGCAAGUCGAGCGGAUGAAGGGAGCUUGCUCCUGGAUUCAGCGGCGGACGGGUGAGUAAUGCCUAGGAAUCUGCCUGGUAGUGGGGGAUAACGUCCGGAAACGGGCGCUAAUACCGCAUACGUCCUGAGGGAGAAAGUGGGGGAUCUUCGGACCUCACGCUAUCAGAUGAGCCUAGGUCGGAUUAGCUAGUUGGUGGGGUAAAGGCCUACCAAGGCGACGAUCCGUAACUGGUCUGAGAGGAUGAUCAGUCACACUGGAACUGAGACACGGUCCAGACUCCUACGGGAGGCAGCAGUGGGGAAUAUUGGACAAUGGGCGAAAGCCUGAUCCAGCCAUGCCGCGUGGGUGAAGAAGGUCUUCGGAUUGUAAAGCACUUUAAGUUGGGAGGAAGGGCAGUAAGUUAAGACCUGGCUGUUUUGACGUUACCAACAGAAUAAGCACCGGCUAACUUCGU